AGCUGGUUGAAAUUGGGCCAAAU
Molecule: microRNA, 23 nt
Filed under: Lottia gigantea (owl limpet)
Lineage: Eukaryota; Metazoa; Mollusca; Gastropoda; Lottiidae
Description: lgi-miR-133-5p
Gene: lgi-miR-133-5p
Source: miRBase by way of RNAcentral